This 65-nucleotide transfer RNA is filed under the name Coleoptera sp. 6 KM-2017. RNAcentral describes it as "tRNA-Trp". Lineage: Eukaryota; Metazoa; Arthropoda; Insecta; Coleoptera. The record is from RNAcentral.
AAGGAUUUAAGUUAAAAAAACUAAUAGCCUUCAAAGCUGUAAUUAGAGAAAGGCUCUAAGCCUUA